RNAcentral lists this unclassified non-coding RNA (191 nucleotides) under plant metagenome. RNAcentral describes it as "partial contains small subunit ribosomal RNA and internal transcribed spacer 1". The stretch from base 1 to 46 matches the Rfam family "Eukaryotic small subunit ribosomal RNA", at positions 1786 to 1831 of the family's 1831-position model. The record is from RNAcentral.
AAGUCGUAACAAGGUUUCCGUAGGUGAACCUGCGGAAGGAUCAUUAAUGAAAUUUAAGGAUGUUCUUUUUAGAAAUCCGACCAAUAUCAUUUCCAACACUGUGAACACACUUAUUUUACACCCAUUUUAAAACUCGUAGAGUCUAUAGGAAUGUAUAAAGUCUCUUAAUUGAGCAUAAAAGUUAAACAAAA